GACGAACGCUGGCGGCGUGCCUAAUACAUGCAAGUUGAGCGCUGAAGGUUGGUACUUGUACCAACUGGAUGAGCAGCGAACGGGUGAGUAACGCGUGGGGAAUCUGCCUUUGAGCGGGGGACAACAUUUGGAAACGAAUGCUAAUACCGCAUAAAAACUUUAAACACAAGUUUUAAGUUUGAAAGAUGCAAUUGCAUCACUCAAAGAUGAUCCCGCGUUGUAUUAGCUAGUUGGUGAGGUAAAGGCUCACCAAGGCGAUGAUACAUAGCCGACCUGAGAGGGUGAUCGGCCACAUUGGGACUGAGACACGGCCCAAACUCCUACGGGAGGCAGCAGUAGGGAGUCUUCGGCAAUGGACGAAAGUCUGACCGAGCAACGCCGCGUGAGUGAAGAAGGGUUUCGGAUCGUAAAACUCUGUUGGUAGAGAAGAACGUUGGUGAGAGUGGAAAGCUCAUCAAGUGACGGUAACUACCCAGAAAGGGACGGCUAACUACGUG
RNAcentral lists this ribosomal RNA (497 nucleotides) under uncultured bacterium. RNAcentral's name for it is "partial 16S ribosomal RNA". It matches the Rfam family "Bacterial small subunit ribosomal RNA", at positions 28 to 507 of the family's 1533-position model. The record is from RNAcentral.